Molecule: long non-coding RNA, 212 nt
Filed under: Lathyrus oleraceus (garden pea)
Lineage: Eukaryota; Viridiplantae; Streptophyta; Magnoliopsida; Fabales; Fabaceae
Description: Pisum sativum (pea) long non-coding RNA (PSAT_LNC016972)
Source: RNAcentral
UUUUUCUUUUUGGUUUAUUCAGUUUUUAUUUUCUUUUGCUUUGAUGUAAUCACCCAUUAUGGGUUGUCUUAAUCUAAUGAAUUUGAUUUUGUUUACAUACAUUUUCCUGUUUAUUUCGUUAGAUAUAUGACUAUGUUUGGCUAGUGGUUAUCUUGAUCACUUACACCAAAUACUUGGUUGUCCUCUCAUUUAGUCCCCUUGACUGUAGAUGU